CUCGGAGCUCUUAAAUUUGUACCGCAUGCUGUUUACAAACUCCUUGAGAACAUGCCUAUGCCGUGGGAGCAGGUUCGAGAUGUAAAAAUCCUGUACCAUAUUACUGGUGCUAUUACAUUCGUUAACGAGAUUCCAUGGGUUGUUGAACCUAUAUAUCUGGCUCAGUGGGGCACAAUGUGGAUCAUGAUGAGAAGGGAGAAGAGAGACCGGCGACAUUUCAAGAGAAUGCGUUUUCCUCCCUUUGACGAUGAGGAACCACCGUUAGAUUAUGCUGAUAAUCUUUUGGAUGUUGAUCCUUUGGAGCCAAUCCAGUUGGAGUUGGAUGAAGAAGAGGAUUCUGCGGUUUAUAACUGGUUUUAUGACCAUAAGCCACUGGUGAAAACAAAGCUUAUUAAUGGUCCUAGUUACCGCAGGUGGCAUUUGUCCCUCCCUAUAAUGGCAACACUUCACCGACUGGCUGGACAGCUUCUUUCAGACCUGACUGAUCGCAAUUACUUCUACUUGUUUGAUAUGGAGUCCUUUUUCACUGCUAAAGCAUUGAACAUGUGCAUACCUGGUGGUCCAAAGUUCGAACCUUUAUAUCGUGACAUGGAG
Molecule: unclassified non-coding RNA, 594 nt
Filed under: Hevea brasiliensis (rubber tree)
Lineage: Eukaryota; Viridiplantae; Streptophyta; Magnoliopsida; Malpighiales; Euphorbiaceae
Source: RNAcentral